UGGGGAAUAUUGGACAAUGGGCGAAAGCCUGAUCCAGCCAUGCCGCGUGUGUGAAGAAGGUCUUCGGAUUGUAAAGCACUUUAAGUUGGGAGGAAGGGCAGUAAGCGAAUACCUUGCUGUUUUGACGUUACCGACAGAAUAAGCACCGGCUAACUCUGUGCCAGCAGCCGCGGUAAUACAGAGGGUGCAAGCGUUAAUCGGAAUUACUGGGCGUAAAGCGCGCGUAGGUGGUUCGUUAAGUUGAAUGUGAAAGCCCCGGGCUCAACCUAGGAACUGCAUCCAAAACUGGCGAGCUAGAGUAGGGCAGAGGGUGGUGAAAUUGCCUGUGUAGCGGUGAAAUGCGUGGAUAUAGGAAGGAACACCAGUGGCGAAGGCGACCACCUGGGCUCAUACUGACACUGAGGUGCGAAAGCGUGGGGAGCAAACAGG
This 429-nucleotide ribosomal RNA is filed under the name Pseudomonadota bacterium. Its description in RNAcentral is "Proteobacteria bacterium partial 16S ribosomal RNA". It matches the Rfam family "Bacterial small subunit ribosomal RNA", at positions 355 to 776 of the family's 1533-position model. The record is from RNAcentral. Lineage: Bacteria; Pseudomonadati; Pseudomonadota.